Poecilia reticulata (guppy) is the source of this 69-nucleotide non-coding RNA. The record is from Ensembl. Lineage: Eukaryota; Metazoa; Chordata; Actinopteri; Cyprinodontiformes; Poeciliidae.
AAGGCUUUAGCUUAAUUAAAGUAUCUGUUUUGCAAAUAGAAGAUGCGGGUUAGUUUCCUGUAGGUCUUA